Long non-coding RNA from Nasonia vitripennis (jewel wasp), 1095 nucleotides. RefSeq lists it as uncharacterized. The record is from RefSeq and is a predicted model, not a curated record. NCBI's taxonomy places the organism in Eukaryota, Metazoa, Arthropoda, Insecta, Hymenoptera, Pteromalidae. The transcript is spliced from 2 exons.
UCAUCAACUGUGUACACACCCGUAUCCGUACUCUGCCUUGAAGUUCGAUAACGCGACAUAUUUCCCGUAGUUCCGGGGAAUCUUUCUUGAAGUUCUCGACGACGAUUUAUUGAAUCUUCUACUCUUUGGCGUUUCCGCCUCUCUGAAAAUUCAUGUUAUUUGUUGAAUAAGAAAACAACAUCUUUUAAUCAACGAUACUUAUUACAAUCCUGUGUAUAGUCGUCUCACCUCUUUUUAUCAAUUCUCGGCCUUCUUCAACAAGAUCAGUUGUAAGCUCGUCAUCGCCCAGAAAUUGUUGGAAACCAAGCAUAGAUAGCAAACGACUUCCGAGACUAAAAUUGUGUUACACAUUUGAAAAAUACACCAAGAUACCUGGGUAUAUUGAGUUUCCAUCACUUGAGUUUUUAUAAUGUGCGAGUCCAUAUGAAUUAAACUAAGGAAAUUCAAACACAUGGGCGGAGUAAGUCGACACAACAUCAUACCACUGAAAAUCAAACUGUACUCGUUGGUUUGAUGAUGUGGAGCCAAAUAAUAUAAAUUUAAUACUCGUAUUUUCAAAACCGUCGAGUAUGCGCAAUAACAUAAAUACGCAAUCACCAAUGUUGAGAGCACCUAAAAAAAUGCUCUUUAUGUGAAAUAGAAGUAGAUAAUUUCAAAAUAAAUUAAAAAUUCAUUCCUUUUACCUCGAUUGUAAAAUAAUCGUACUUUACUUUUGCCGAAUUAACAAAAGCGGCAAAUAGUGACAAUACUGGCGAUUUGUUGAAAAAAGUCACUUCUGACCAAACUACAGCUAUUGAUAGAGUUGCUGCCAAUACAGCUGCUGCUUUUUGCACAUGACUUUUGAUCAAACAUUUCCAAUACCAUUCUGUAAUAAAAAAAAAAUGUCAGUUUGAUUAUGUAAGAAUUUUUUCAAUAAACUUAGAUUUCAAUAAUUGCAUUACCUAUGCUAGGAUUAUAUAAAAUACGUAGUAUCAAUGGACGUUGUACAGGAAAGGUAGGCUUAAAUCUUCUAUCAUGACUAGUUUGAUUUCUUGAAAUAUCUUCUAGAUCAAAAAUAUCAUCUACUAAGAUACCCCAUUGUGUCUCUGUUCUUUG